UACAUGAAGGAAAAGGGCUGCACAUGUGACU
This 31-nucleotide non-coding RNA is filed under the name Mus musculus (house mouse). The record is from RNAcentral. Lineage: Eukaryota; Metazoa; Chordata; Mammalia; Rodentia; Muridae.